This is a long non-coding RNA of Sceloporus undulatus (fence lizard), 1231 nucleotides long. RefSeq lists it as uncharacterized. Lineage: Eukaryota; Metazoa; Chordata; Lepidosauria; Squamata; Phrynosomatidae. The transcript is spliced from 3 exons. The record is from RefSeq and is a predicted model, not a curated record.
UUGCAUCGGGACACCAGCUAAAAUGUGCCAAUGUGCAUCAGGAUAUUCUUGCCAGUGUCCCAUAACUCAUUGUUGCAAUUCACCAACAGGGUUUCUUAGCACCUUUAUACAAGGUACAUAACAUACAUAACAGAGGAUUCUGGCCCUGCUUUGCAAUGUUAACAACUGGUAUUUCUUCAUGCUUUGCAACACGUUAAAUUACCUGAAAAACAUAGCUUUUGAAAGUCUGAAGGAAGGAGAACAUUAAAGACCUUCUUCACCGGCAUGUUUAGUAGCUGGGCAAAUUCACAGUUUCCUGAUUUCCAAAUUUACCUUCUCUUGGAAUGUGAUCAAUGUGAUCUACUCUCUCUUAGGGCAGUAGGCAAAUAACAUCCAUCACCUAAGCUGGCCUCAUUAUCUCUUGAUUCAUUGGCUUUCUAUAAACAUUAUCCCCAAUUGUCAGCUGUGUGCUGAAAAAAAGGAAAGAUGUUUUGGCAUGCACGCAUGCAUGUCCGAUGACGUGUAAGCUAGGGUUGCUAUAGCAAUCACAGUGAUUUUUAGAAUCAAGUGGGAAGGAGAACUGGGAAACACCCACCCACUCACACACCUCUAUAAGUACUGGUGUAAAACGACAGAUUUCUACUAGGCAGCAUUGUGUAACAAUGUUCAGCCCCACAGGGUCAGAAGUAGGAGCACAGAGUUCUGAUGCGUCUGAUACUGAUCCUCUUUCUUGUAUUUCAGACUCUCUGUUGGUCAUUCAGAUCAGAGCAGGAGGGUGUCUUAUUAUAUCAUGGAACCAAGGUGGAAUCGAUGGAAGAGGAAAAUGUAAUAAAAAGCACAGUGUGAAGAAUUUACAUUCAGAGAUGCUACAUGAAAAUGAGCCAGCUCCUCUUGGCAGAAUGGCCAUGGUGCAAUUAUCUGUUAAAAAACUAGUCUUCUUCUGCCUAGAAAAAUAAAUAAUCUUGUGCAGUUCUAAAGUAAAACGAGGAAGCAGAAAAGACCACAUCAUUUUGCAUUGUUGCCCUUACCUUUGCAAUUUGAACCACACUGACAAGAGGAAUGACCUCAUGCUCCUCAUGGUCACUACACUGUGUAUCAAGGGCUCUAAGUGGAACGCAGCAAGUAAUACACCAUUCCCUGCCAGCUUUCCACUGCUGAAACUGAAGCCUUCUUGCUGUAAUUCUAGACAGCUGCUUUUUCCGAGAGCAGCAUGCCUGUGAUGACCCAGAGGAACGAAUAUAUCCUGGCAUCA